AAGUCGUAACAAGGUCUCCGUUGGUGAACCAGCGGAGGGAUCAUUACUGAGUUUAACAACUCUCCAACCCUGUGUGAACUGAAGUCUGGUUGCUCAGGCAGGCGAUCCCCGGGGGGGAUCGCAGCCUCGCUGAGGCGCCUGCCGGAGGAUACCUAAACUCGUUUUAAUUAAACAAAACUCUGAGUAUUAAAAACAAAUGAAUUAAAACUUUCAACAACGCAUCUCUUGGUUCUGGCAUCGAUGAAGAACGCAGCGAAAUGCGAUAAGUAAUGCGAAUUGCAGAAUUCUGUGAGUCAUCGAAUCUUUGAACGCACAUUGCGCCCCCUAGUAUUCUAGAGGGCAUGCCUGUCCGAGCGUCAUUUCACCCCUCAAGCGCUGUUUCGCUUGGAGUUGGGGCUCUUGCAGCGAGCACCUGGUGCCGCGCAAGCCCUGAAAUUCAGCGGCGGGCCCCGCCAGCACACCGAGCGCAGUAAUAUUUACUUCUCGCUCAGGGCGUGCGGCGGAGCGCAGCCGACCUCUGCAAACUUUUAAGUUGACCUCGGAUCAGGUAGGACUACCCGCUGAACUUAA
This 570-nucleotide ribosomal RNA is filed under the name uncultured fungus. RNAcentral's name for it is "eukaryotic LSU rRNA". The stretch from base 206 to 359 matches the Rfam family "5.8S ribosomal RNA". The record is from RNAcentral. Lineage: Eukaryota; Fungi.